AUGCCUUACACAUGCAAGUCGAACGGCAGCAUGAUCUAGCUUGCUAGAUUGAUGGCGAGUGGCGAACGGGUGAGUAAUACAUCGGAACGUGCCCUGUAGUGAGGGAUAUCAAGUCGAAAGAUUAGCUAAUACCGCAUACGACCUGAGGAUGAAAGUGGGGGACCGCAAGGCCUCAUGCUAUAGGAGCGGCCGAUGUCUGAUUAGCUAGUUGGUGGGGUAAAGGCCCACCAAGGCGACGAUCAGUAGCUGGUCUGAGAGGACGAUCAGCCACACUGGGACUGAGACACGGCCCAGACUCCUACGGGAGGCAGCAGUGGGGAAUUUUGGACAAUGGGCGAAAGCCUGAUCCAGCAAUGCCGCGUGUGUGAAGAAGGCCUUCGGGUUGUAAAGCACUUUUGUCCGGAAAGAAAUGGCUCUGGUUAAUACCUGGGGUCGAUGACGGUACCGGAAGAAUAAGGACCGGCUAACUACGUGCCAGCAGCCGCGGUAAUACGUAGGGUCCAAGCGUUAAUCGGAAUUACUGGGCGUAAAGCGUGCGCAGGCGGUUGUGCAAGACCGAUGUGAAAUCCCCGAGCUUAACUUGGGAAUUGCAUUGGUGACUGCACGGCUAGAGUGUGUCAGAGGGGGGUAGAAUUCCACGUGUAGCAGUGAAAUGCGUAGAGAUGUGGAGGAAUACCGAUGGCGAAGGCAGACCCCUGGAGAUAACACUGACGCUCAUGCACGAAAGCGUGGGGAGCAAACAGGAU
Molecule: ribosomal RNA, 746 nt
Filed under: uncultured Ralstonia sp.
Lineage: Bacteria; Pseudomonadati; Pseudomonadota; Betaproteobacteria; Burkholderiales; Burkholderiaceae
Description: bacterial SSU rRNA
Rfam family: Bacterial small subunit ribosomal RNA
Source: RNAcentral